Molecule: ribosomal RNA, 253 nt
Filed under: Phycisphaerae bacterium
Lineage: Bacteria; Pseudomonadati; Planctomycetota; Phycisphaerae
Also listed under: 2 other names
Description: partial 16S ribosomal RNA
Rfam family: Bacterial small subunit ribosomal RNA
Source: RNAcentral
GACAGAGGGUGCAAACGUUGCUCGGAAUUACUGGGCGUAAAGCGCGUGUAGGCUGACCGGAAAGUCGGGCGUGAAAUCCCUGGGCUCAACCCAGGAACUGCACUCGAAACUCCCGGUCUUGAGUGGUGGAGAGGGAAGUGGAAUUCCUGGUGUAGAGGUGAAAUUCGUAGAUAUCAGGAGGAACACCAGUGGCGAAGGCGGCUUCCUGGACACCAACUGACGCUGAGACGCGAAAGCGUGGGGAGCAAACAGG